CAGCGCCUGCAGCUCGAUCCUCAAGGGGGUCAAGACCGUGCGCUUGUUUAAUCUGGUCGCGCCGCUGGCCCCGCCCGCAGUUUCACCCGCGGUGGAGGCCACCGCCAUGCGCAGCACGGAUACCGCUCGCCAGCUGGAGCUGCCGUUCGCUCCGGCCGGCGAGGCCGCGUCCGGCGCAGUUACCGGGCCGAGGCUUCGACCCGGCGACGUGGAUAGCGCGACAGGUGG
Molecule: non-coding RNA, 228 nt
Filed under: unclassified sequences
Description: RT-15 RNA
Rfam family: RT-15 RNA
About the family: Proteobacteria.
Source: Rfam by way of RNAcentral